CCUUCCACAUUUUACUUUUGGUUCUUUGUCAAAUAAGGUAGUAACAGAGUCCCUAACUGUAACAUAGGGAGCAGUCGCUACAUGUGAACUUCGUGGCUCUAAAAUCUUGAGAUACCGCUUCCUUACCUCCUUCCUUGUCAAUGAGUGUUUAGAUUUUUAAUGACAUUUCAAAGUCAAUCUCCAAACACUUUAGAGGUCAAUCCUAGCAGAGACGAACUUUAAACUGGUGGGAGUAGGGUGCAGAGCAAUCCCUCUGGGAGUCAGAAUGAGAUACUUGUGUGUCUGGACUGGUAGCAGGGUUUUAUGUUACCAGAGUGAUCUCCAUGGUAACAGAUCAACAUGGUGCCAGUGACAGCUUUACGCUCCAGGCUUUAGGUUCCCAUGAGAAAGUGGAUUCUUAACAACAAAUAGGGGAGCAGAAAUGAAGGAAUAUGGAUGUACGCUCCCCUUUCUUGUAAAGUUCUGGUCAUGAAGUUUCUGUUCAUACAACCAAUGACACGUCCUGUUUAACCCCCUGGGUUCCUCUGUCAACCAAGACUCUUCAGAGGAUGUGCAAUGUGCUCUUGAAUUUCAACUGAACUCAUACCAGGUUUAAAUAGGCGUUGGUAGCAAAGAACUGUAUUGGAGUGGAACAAGAGUGAGACUUGGAGUCGGGAAACCUGGCCUUCAGACCCAGCUUUUGUACAAGAUGUCUUGAAGGUCCUUACUUUCCACAUUCUUAGAUUCUCACCAGUUACGAUAGUCAAUCAUCCAGUUUUAUGGAAAGCCCCUGGUGUGUGAUUCAUUGGCGGUAAAAAUAGUAGCCAGUUAAAUAGAGGACAAUCUGCCAUCCCCAUCCCCAUCAAAGGUAUGAUCCUGUUGUGAUCGUGUGGAUGCAAACGUUCAGACACCUAAAAAGUAGAAGUACUUCUGAAUAUUCCAAGAGUUACAUCCAAUGGUUCCCAAGCCCAGCUGCACUGCAGAUUCACUUGAUGAUCUUUUAAAAAAGAUUACACUUCCUACCUCAGACCUCUUUCAUCAGAGUCUUCAGGGCUGGGUUCCAAGUACCUAGCAAAACACGGCUCCAAUUUUCUGGGGAAGAGAUAAGCGAGACAUUUCGAGAACCACUCCGAGGAGGGUGUUGUCACAUCACUGGUGGAAAUUAUGUGGAUGAUGGUUGAAGAAGACUGCAAAGGAGCCAGCUCUGGGAGCUGAGACUAAAGGCAACGUAGAUAUACACAGCAGAUAAAGAAAUAGGCAUACACACAAGCAUACCCAGAGCUGGAAACCAAGUCAUUAUACCUGGCCGUCGUUCUGUACAGAACAUUUAGGCAGUAAAGUCACCUCUUUCUUUACGCUGUUUUGCUCUUUUCUUUAGAUCAGAUUUUACCUGGAUAGGAGAAUUAACAAAAGAGGGUCAGGUGGAUGGAUGUGCAUUUCUUCCUGCUCUCUCAGUGGCAGACGUCUGUGAAGCAUUGGCCAGAGUCAGCUAAGCAUGUACUUUAGACGAGAUCCGCACUCCUAAAGGGGACUCAUGCAGUCUUCAGAUGGAUUACAUUUAAGUUAAUCCUUGUUCCGACUCAGGUCUCAUCUGCUAGUAGGGUUCAGUUUUCAUUCAUCUACUGUAAAACCAAACAACCCUUACUUGUGGCGAAGGGAGAGAGGAAAGAGAGGAAAUAAAAAAAGCGUUGCAUUUUA
Long non-coding RNA from Herpailurus yagouaroundi (jaguarundi), 1677 nucleotides. RefSeq lists it as uncharacterized. The record is from RefSeq and is a predicted model, not a curated record. The transcript has 2 exons. Lineage: Eukaryota; Metazoa; Chordata; Mammalia; Carnivora; Felidae.